This 474-nucleotide ribosomal RNA is filed under the name Bacteroidetes bacterium wo31. Its description in RNAcentral is "bacterial SSU rRNA". It matches the Rfam family "Bacterial small subunit ribosomal RNA", at positions 395 to 869 of the family's 1533-position model. Lineage: Bacteria; Pseudomonadati; Bacteroidota. The record is from RNAcentral.
UGCCGCGUGAAGGAUGACGGCCCUCUGGGUUGUAAACUUCUUUUAUCUGGGACGAAAAAAGGUCAUUCUUGAUCACUUGACGGUACCAGAGGAAUAAGCACCGGCUAACUCCGUGCCAGCAGCCGCGGUAAUACGGAGGGUGCAAGCGUUAUCCGGAUUUACUGGGUUUAAAGGGUGCGUAGGUGGGUCUGUAAGUCAGUGGUGAAAUCUCCGAGCUUAACUCGGAAACUGCCAUUGAUACUAUAGGUCUUGAAUUAUCUGGAGGUGAGCGGAAUAUGUCAUGUAGCGGUGAAAUGCUUAGAUAUGACAUAGAACACCAAUUGCGAAGGCAGCUCACUACGGAUCGAUUGACACUGAGGCACGAAAGCGUGGGGAUCAAACAGGAUUAGAUACCCUGGUAGUCCACGCCCUAAACGAUGGAUACUCGACAUACGCGAUAUACAGUGUGUGUCUGAGCGAAAGCAUUAAGUAUCC